GUUCAGAUGGCCGAGUGGUUAAGGCGUUGGACUGCUAAUCCAAUGGGGUCUCCCCGCGUGAGUUCAAAUCUCACUCUGAACG
This 82-nucleotide transfer RNA is filed under the name Aphidius gifuensis. Its description in RNAcentral is "tRNA-Ser". It matches the Rfam family "tRNA". From Rfam's summary of the family: Transfer RNA (tRNA) molecules are approximately 80 nucleotides in length. Their secondary structure includes four short double-helical elements and three loops (D, anti-codon, and T loops). Lineage: Eukaryota; Metazoa; Arthropoda; Insecta; Hymenoptera; Braconidae. The record is from Rfam by way of RNAcentral.